UCGAUUGAGACUUGCUGCCUGCUAGGCUUGGUUGAGGGGAAGGGCAGCAGGUGAUUGGCUGGGCUGGACCUCAAUCAGCAGGUGGGCGGGUCUUGAUCGAGUGUCCGUCAGGUUAAAAACAUCCGCGGGAGAUGGCUCAGGGCUGCUGCAAGGCCUGCCGUUUUCACGGCACCUUUGAUUUAUAGUUUGUGGUAUUGUGGUUUAUUUUGCACUUUUGUACAGCUUGAUGUACUGGUCCUCUGUGCGUUACCAUCGCUGGUAACGUCACAUGACCACCUUUAUUUUACUUUCGUUUUCUGUUUGUUUGUUUGUGAAUAAAACCUGCGCGCCUGUGCCGGCGUUUUCAACAACACCACGUCUGUCUCUCUGUAUGCUUGGACAGCGGCUACCCACACGCGUGACACGAGGAAGACCCUGUCACACCUUCCAAGACAGAUUUUGCUGCCAGUGUUUGCUGUUGGUGUUGCUGGUCUUUUGUUAAUUACUCUUUACUAUAUAAAAUGGAGACACACCAAUGCUGCAGAUCUCCCUCCCGACCGGUGAGGGCGCUAGGGAGGAGGAGCAGACAUCCCCAGGAAAGGUGGAAGUCGGCCACCUGGAAAGGGGGCGGAACCACGGUGCGCAACGUCAUCAACCCAGACGGGAAGCGCUGUGGCAAUCGCGUAUUGGCUGACGGCGGUUGCCCUCUCUGACCAAUGGGGACAGGAUGGAGCGUACAAAAGGGGGCGUGGCACAGGGUUCUGUUCCUUCUGGCAAGAGCACUAACGGGACGCUCCGGGAAUACGUCGGAGGAGCACGGACCCGGAAGUGCCGGACUGUUUACUGUGGUUCACCUCGUUUGGAUUGAGGAAGGACAGACUGUGUUUUGCUGAUUCUAGUUGUUUUGGUUUUUCGUUUCAUUUGGGACUGCAACCCUUUUCCCCUUUGUUUGGUCGGGUUACACAUUGUUGUGUAUCCCGGCACUAUUAUUAUUAUUAUUAUUAUUAUUGUUUGAUCGGGUUACACAUUGCUGUGUAUCCCGGUAUUAUUAUUGUUGGUUUUUUUGUGUGACGAAUUAAAGCCGGGAGCUUAUACCAACAAACCUGGACUGGUCUGACGAUCAACUUUUUAAAUCAAUGUGACAGGUAGCUGAGUGGGUGACGUCACGGCAGAAACAGGAACACAAACGACAGAGAGAGAUGGAGUUUGGUGGAGCUGAGCGAAUGCUUUCGCUCAGCAUUUAAUGAAUAAACAGACAGAAAAUAAACGGUUGUAACAAAAACACAGGACACGGCACUUUAGGCCAAAAUAAAAUAGAUAAACAAAACAGACUAUACAGACAAACAGACACGGACAGACACACAAACACGGUGAGUGAAACAACUAUCAAUUUACUUUGCUUUAUUUUACUCUUCUCCACACCCGUUCUCCACUCACCGAACACCCAACCACCAGCGAGUGAAAACAUGCAGCUUUUAUGCAGUUGUACCGAGACUCGAUUGCUAGUCAAUCAUUCAAUUGGAAUCUCGGUAGAACUGCACGUGAAUUAAUUAAAGUGCAAUUCCCCGUGCUCACAUAUUAUUACUUUUUACUUGCACGUGAUGUGAUGUGCCAUCCCCGUGCCUAAAUACAAAUAUACAAUUUACACACACGUGAAACACAGAUCCGCUUAUAUCCCGUGUACCAAUGCCUAUACACCAACAUUUACACACAACACGUAACAUAUAACAUACACAGGGGGGCACUUUGCCACAAUCAAUAAUAUUAUAUAUAUAUAUAUAUAUAUAUAUUACAAGCAAGUCUAUAUUUUGAUGGUCCCUUGACUGGGCUUAACACUAGAAGCCCUGCCGCGGCCAUUUUUGUGGUUUUUUGUGUAACACAUAUGAGGCUGUGCGUUCAUGUACCUUUCUGUCUGUAUGUAUUAAAUAUUCUCACUAAUCAUGAAACAUGGGAGUGCAGAAAUAAAGGAGAUAUUACAUUAUACCUAAAAGCCCCGGGAGCAGUCACAUUGACGGCCACACAGA
Acipenser ruthenus (sterlet) is the source of this 2003-nucleotide long non-coding RNA. RefSeq lists it as uncharacterized. Lineage: Eukaryota; Metazoa; Chordata; Actinopteri; Acipenseriformes; Acipenseridae. The transcript has 3 exons. The record is from RefSeq and is a predicted model, not a curated record.